UACAACCAUAUCACGCUGAAACACCGGUUCCCAUACGAUAAGUUAAGCAAAGAUGAGUCUGGUCAAUACCUUGAUGGGUGGCCGCUUGGUAAUACCAGGUGCUGUAA
This is a non-coding RNA of Acanthosepion pharaonis, 107 nucleotides long. NCBI's taxonomy places the organism in Eukaryota, Metazoa, Mollusca, Cephalopoda, Sepiida, Sepiidae. The record is from the annotation of a GenBank genome assembly.